CUGUACAAGUAUUUAACAAACUGUAUUUUACUUUUUAAUUUGAAGAGAAUGGUGUACUACAUAAUAUUGAGUAUUCUUGCAUGUGUGCAAUGUGGUGUACUGGCGGAAGACGAUAUACAAUGUAAACAGUGUGCUGAUUUAAACAAUAAUACAGCAUCGGGGAAUACAACUAAUCUUUUGGAAACAUGUCCUUCAGCACAACCGACACCGUGUAAUGGUACAGCCUUGGGAUGCGGAGAAUUCAAUGGGAUCGUCCUCUUGAAAAAAGAACGAGUCACUCAGAAUAUUACCGUGAAGUUUCAAUACUGUUCAGUGAGUGGUCUAAUAACCUGCAAUAAUGUUAUCAUAACCAAUGUUGGAAGCGAUAGGUCAGGUUUUUUGGAUGCAUUUUUAGCAAGAGUGACGGAUUUAGUAAGACAUGGUAUUGGAUUGGGAGCAUUUAAAGGAAUUGAUGGCCAAAUCUGCAUACAGGGACCAUCACCAAAUGGACAGAAUGAAAUGUUCCCAAGUGUAGUCAUUCUAGUUAUGGCAUUCUUUUGUCAGAUGUUUAUUGUAUAUGCGCAAAACUUCUACUAAAACAAUUUUAUCAUUUCUCUAUCACACGAGGUAUCCCGAUCCGAAAUCCACGGAUGGAUCCGAAUGUUUGUUGAUUUAUUUGUUAAUGACAAAAGUGUGAGAUGUGAACAUUUUUGGAAUAAGUCAUAUUGUCCAAUCUCUAAUUAAUCGAACCUGGAUAAAUCAAUAAAUGUCUUGCAUUCAUGAUAAAAAAAUAUAAAGGUUAAAAGGAAAGUUGUAAGAUCGACAAUAAUGCAUAAUUUUUCCUAUAUGAAUUAACUGUAGACAAGAGAUAUGUUUUGACUGUGUGUAAUUUUCUUUGAUGACCUUUUUUAGUACCAGUAUAGAAAUAAGGAGAUGUGGUAUGAUUGCCAAUAAGACAACUAUCCACCAAGGUUCAUAUGAAGUGGAUGUAAGCAAUUAUAGGCAACCGUACGGCCUUCAACAAUGAGAAAAACCCAUACCGUGUGGUCGGCUAUAAAAGGUCCCGACAUGAAACAUGAAACCAUUCAAAUGAGAAAACUAACGGCCUAAUUUAUAACAUAAGAGUUUACGAUGUACAAAUAUGACAUGAAUCAACGACAACAACUGAACUACAGGCUCCUGACUUGUGACAGACACAUAAUGUGGCGGGGUUAAACAUGUUUGUGAGCGCUCAACCCUCCCCCUAACCUGGGACAGUGAGGUGACAGUACAACAUAAGAACAAACUAUAAAUAAUCAGUUGAAAAAGGCUGAACUCAUCAGAUGGAUCAUAUAGAAAUACAUCUAACAA
This is a long non-coding RNA of Mytilus californianus (California mussel), 1329 nucleotides long. RefSeq lists it as uncharacterized. The record is from RefSeq and is a predicted model, not a curated record. Lineage: Eukaryota; Metazoa; Mollusca; Bivalvia; Mytilida; Mytilidae. The transcript is spliced from 3 exons.